Molecule: non-coding RNA, 528 nt
Organism: Chrysemys picta bellii (western painted turtle)
Lineage: Eukaryota; Metazoa; Chordata; Testudines; Emydidae
Source: RefSeq, a predicted model, not a curated record
CGUGCCCCUCCCCCCCACCCCGUUAUCCCGUUAACAGUAGCGUGUUUGCAGGUGAAGGCGACUUGCCCCACAGUCGCUGCGGGGGAAAGAGGCCGAGCGGGAGGCGAGACCAGGUUUCAGGCACAUGCGGAGGGGGAAGAAUCGUUCCCCGGAACCGCUGCGGCUGGGAGCAGAAGCAACGGGGUUAAAUGGCAGCCGGGGCGGUGCAGGUCGGACAGGUGGAAACACGUCCCUACUGUCAGGGGGGUUCAGCGCUGGGGCUACAGAAUAACGUCCAUGUUUUGCUCUGGAUCGUCCCACCCUUCCAGAGGAAAGGCAAUGGCUGCAGCGGAGUUAGCUGAGGUGUUUGUUUAUAUAUAAUUUUAUAGGGGGGGAGAUAUUGGGAUUGCCGCCAGGAGGCUGUCCCUGACCCUGCCGGGGACUCCAUUUCCUGUAUCAGCUUCUGGUUAGUAGGUGUGUGAUGAAUAUGAUGACCCCUGUCCCCACUGGCCAGCGUGAGGGGCUCUCUUUUUCUCCCCUCAACUUGGU